UGGGGAAUAUUGCGCAAUGGGCGAAAGCCUGACGCAGCGACGCCGCGUGGGUGAUGAAGGCCUUCGGGUCGUAAAGCCCUGUCGCAGGGGAAGAAUAAGCAUCGGGAUAAUACCCCCCAUGGUGACGGUACCAUUUGUAAGCUCCGGCUAACUCCGUGCCAGCAGCCGCGGUAAUACGGGGGGAGCAAGCGUUGUUCGGAUUUACUGGGCGUAAAGGGCGCGUAGGCGGCGCAACAAGUCAGUUGUGAAAUCUCUGGGCUUAACCCAGAGCGGUCAACUGAUACUGUCGUGCUAGAGUGCGGAAGGGGCAACUGGAAUUCUCGGUGUAGCGGUGAAAUGCGUAGAUAUCGAGAGGAACACCUGCGGCGAAGGCGGGUUGCUGGGCCGACACUGACGCUGAGGCGCGAAAGCUAGGGGAGCGA
This 422-nucleotide ribosomal RNA is filed under the name uncultured bacterium. RNAcentral describes it as "bacterial SSU rRNA". It matches the Rfam family "Bacterial small subunit ribosomal RNA", at positions 355 to 771 of the family's 1533-position model. The record is from RNAcentral.